GGACUACCAGGGUAUCUAAUCCUGUUCGCUCCCCACGCUUUCGCGUCUCAGCGUCAGUACCGUACUAGAGAGCCGCCUUAGCCACGGGUGUUCUUCCUGAUAUCUGCGCAUUUCACCGCUACACCAGGAAUUCCACUCUCCUCUUCCGGACUCUAGCCAUGCGGUUUCCAUCGGCGUCUCGAGGUUGAGCCUCGAGUUUUCACAACGGACCUGCAUGGCCGCCUACACGCUCUUUACGCCCAAUAAAUCCGGACAACGCUUGCCCCCUACGUAUUACCGCGGCUGCUGGCAC
Molecule: ribosomal RNA, 292 nt
Filed under: uncultured bacterium
Lineage: Bacteria
Description: partial 16S ribosomal RNA
Source: RNAcentral